GAAGUCUUGUGCUGCCCUGGUUAACACUAUUGAGCUGUUCUCUACAUUGCCUGCUUUCACGGUGCUUACUUUGUCUUGUUCUCUGACCUCGUCCUGCCAGCUGCCUGCCUUGUACCUCAGCCUGAUUACCGACUCUGAUCCUAGCUGCCUGCCUUGAACUCUAGCCUGGAUACAGACCUUGAUAUUCGCCGCCUGCCUCCAUGCCUGAACAUUCAUACUGUGAUUACCUGCCGUUACUCCUUCAACGUAACACUAUUGUGUUUGAUCAACAACCGGAUUCAUGUGGUGCGGACCAAGAAAUGAAGGCAGGUCAAAGGCAGGUGUCCAUGGAGAACUUGUGUUCAGCCAUCAGCAGCUUUCAUAGCAUCCCUGUCCCUAGUGGACACACACACAAGAGCCAAGAACUUAUUUUGUGAAAUGGAAAGCUGCAGGUCUCUGGAGCUUUGCUUCCUGUUCUCUAAAACAAUGGAAAAGAUGAAGUAGGAAUUGUGAACUAUAAUGCUGUUUCUAUUGAAAUCAAUGCUUCUCUGGAAAUUGGCUCAUUCAUCAGAACAAUUCAGCCGCACAAUGUAUAAUCACGAUAAGCAGAUACUGACGUGAAGACCACAUCGUUUUCUAGGUUAAAGAUUGUAUAAUCCUAGUUAUGAUGCAACUUGUUGAAUAGCUCAUCAGUAUUGAAACGAAAUGUCUGUGUAUGAGCUGAAAAGGACACAUGAUGCCAAACUAAUGGUGCCAAGACCAGAGUGAAAAAGGUUUAAAGAGCUCCUUUUCUCACCUAUAAUUGGGUCACAUGAAGAUCGAUAUUGAAUAAAGAACCCUUGAGUCGUG
RNAcentral lists this long non-coding RNA (828 nucleotides) under Danio rerio (zebrafish). Its description in RNAcentral is "si:zfos-986b4.1 (ENSDARG00000096763.2)". The record is from RNAcentral. Lineage: Eukaryota; Metazoa; Chordata; Actinopteri; Cypriniformes; Danionidae.